GUAGCAAUUUUUAUUUUAUCUUCCACAAUCAAGUACCUAGUACAUUUUCAAGCAAAUUUCCUAGAAUACAGCAAAGUAGGUGUUAGUUUUUGGUGAAAAAUCUUCUACAUAUAUUUCUUCUUAAACCAUGCAAUUAUUUUAAAACACCAUAUAUUAUAAUUGCUAUUUUUUUCUAGUUUGUUGGUUUUAGACAUCAAGACACUUAUUUAACCUUCUCUUGCCAUUAAUCUAAUUCAAUGGUCUUUGCUUAUCUGUAGCUCAUAUAUAAAAAAUUAUGCUUUUGUAAACAAGAAAAAACAAUGUAAUUUACCUUUGAUC
This 318-nucleotide long non-coding RNA is filed under the name Physcomitrium patens. RNAcentral's name for it is "long non-coding RNA (PPAT_LNC001559)". The record is from RNAcentral. Lineage: Eukaryota; Viridiplantae; Streptophyta; Bryopsida; Funariales; Funariaceae.